UUAGGGAGACCUUACCCGCUUGAGACUGAAAUAAACCAAAAGAAGUCCGAGCUUGGUCAUCUCAAAGGUCGAACAAGGGAAAAAAUUGCUUUCAAACUAAACUGGUUCGGUAAAAUGGGCUAUUAGCUCAGGUGGUUAGAGCGCACCCCUGAUAAGGGUGAGGUCCCUGGUUCGAGUCCAGGAUGGCCCACCUUACUCCAAAGAACCCACUAAACUGACUGUGUCAUCUCAAAGAAGAGGAGACAAGGUAGAAGCGAAUUGGGGGUAUAGCUCAGUUGGUAGAGCGCCUGCUUUGCAAGCAGGAUGUCAGCGGUUCGAGUCCGCUUACCUCCACCAGAAAAAGUCGAAUUCAGCAUCCGAACUUCAAACAAAUUGAGUAGGAAUGCUGGAUUAGUAAUGUCCAGCCAGCACCUUGAAAACUGCAUAAGAAUAAAGAUUAGUAAAGACAGGUAGAAAGUCUUAAAAGACAAUCUAUUUCAAAGAUCGAGA
This 489-nucleotide transfer RNA is filed under the name Pleurocapsales cyanobacterium 3MX_NQ1_cl16_1. RNAcentral describes it as "16S-23S ribosomal RNA intergenic spacer". The stretch from base 261 to 333 matches the Rfam family "tRNA". The record is from RNAcentral. Lineage: Bacteria; Bacillati; Cyanobacteriota; Cyanophyceae; Pleurocapsales.